Molecule: transfer RNA, 72 nt
Filed under: Ceratocystis platani
Lineage: Eukaryota; Fungi; Ascomycota; Sordariomycetes; Microascales; Ceratocystidaceae
Rfam family: tRNA
About the family: Transfer RNA (tRNA) molecules are approximately 80 nucleotides in length. Their secondary structure includes four short double-helical elements and three loops (D, anti-codon, and T loops). Further hydrogen bonds mediate the characteristic L-shaped molecular structure. tRNAs have two regions of fundamental functional importance: the anti-codon, which is responsible for specific mRNA codon recognition, and the 3' end, to which the tRNAs corresponding amino acid is attached (by aminoacyl-tRNA synthetases). tRNAs cope with the degeneracy of the genetic code in two manners: having more than one tRNA (with a specific anti-codon) for a particular amino acid; and 'wobble' base-pairing, i.e. permitting non-standard base-pairing at the 3rd anti-codon position.
Source: Rfam by way of RNAcentral
GGGAGCGUAGUUCAACGGUCAGAAUAUCCGUCUUCAAAACGGAUGAUGCGGGUUCGAUUCCUGCCGCUCCCG